GACGAACGCUGGCGGCGUGCCUAAUACAUGCAAGUCGAACGCUUUUUCUUUCACCGGAGCUUGCUCCACCGAAAGAAAAAGAGUGGCGAACGGGUGAGUAACACGUGGGUAACCUGCCCAUCAGAAGGGGAUAACACUUGGAAACAGGUGCUAAUACCGUAUAACACUAUUUUCCGCAUGGAAGAAAGUUGAGAGGCGCUUUUGCGUCACUGAUGGAUGGACCCGCGGUGCAUUAGCUAGUUGGUGAGGUAACGGCUCACCAAGGCAACGAUGCAUAGCCGACCUGAGAGGGUGAUCGGCCACACUGGGACUGAGACACGGCCCAGACUCCUACGGGGGGUAGCAGUAGGGAAUCUUCGGCAAUGGACGAAAGUCUGACCGAGCAACGCCGCGUGAGUGAAGAAGGUUUUCGGAUCGUAAAACUCUGUUGUUAGAGAAGAACAAGGAUGAGAGUAAAACGUUCAUCCCUUGACGGUAUCUAACCAGAAAGCCACGGCUAACUACGUGCCAGCCGCCGCUGUAA
RNAcentral lists this ribosomal RNA (523 nucleotides) under uncultured bacterium. RNAcentral describes it as "partial 16S ribosomal RNA". It matches the Rfam family "Bacterial small subunit ribosomal RNA", at positions 28 to 523 of the family's 1533-position model. The record is from RNAcentral.